GACGAACGCUGGCGGCGUGCUUAACACAUGCAAGUCAAACGGAAAGGCCCUGCUUUUGUGGGGUGCUCGAGUGGCGAACGGGUGGGUAACACGUGAGUAACCUGCCCUUGACUUUGGGAUAACUUCAGGAAACUGGGGCUAAUACCGGAUAGGAGCUCCUGCUGCAUGGUGGGGGUUGGAAAGUUUCGGCGGUUGGGGAUGGACUCGCGGCUUAUCAGCUUGUUGGUGGGGUAGUGGCUUACCAAGGCUUUGACGGGUAGCCGGCCUGAGAGGGUGACCGGCGAAAUUGGGACUGAGAUACGGCCCAGACUCCUACGGGAGGCAGCAGUGGGGAAUAUUGCACAAUGGGCGGAAGCCUGAUGCAGCAACGCCGCGUGCGGGAUGACGGCCUUCGGGUUGUAAACCGCGUUCGCCUGUGACGAAGCGUGAGUGACGGUAAUGGGUAAAGAAGCACCGGCUAACUACGUG
Molecule: ribosomal RNA, 468 nt
Filed under: uncultured bacterium
Lineage: Bacteria
Description: partial 16S ribosomal RNA
Rfam family: Bacterial small subunit ribosomal RNA
Source: RNAcentral